CAAAUCUGUUGGCGAUCGACACCUGCAUGCGGCUGCUACCAUCUCGCGAUCUGCACUCUGCUUCCUCGUCUGCCGCGGCCGAAGUGCAUGAGAUGUCAAGGGGUACAAGAAGGAACAUCAUUCGAAGCCAUGAGGAGUAUUUGUCAGAGGAGCUUGUUGUGCAAAGAAGUAAUCACAAAACAUAUGCCCCUUAUCACGUUGAUCCAAGUUCUGAAGAAGACCAAUUAGAUAUGGAAAAUAAUGAUGAGAUUAUUGCCCCAGAUCAUCAUCAACAUGCUGCAGCUUCUGAUUUUGAUCCUACCUCUACUGGGCACCCUUGUGAUAUAGAUGGUGAUGCUGAGCCUAAUAUCGAAGAGGAAACUGUGGGAACAAGACG
This 376-nucleotide unclassified non-coding RNA is filed under the name Zea mays. RNAcentral's name for it is "misc RNA Zm00001eb388410". Lineage: Eukaryota; Viridiplantae; Streptophyta; Magnoliopsida; Poales; Poaceae. The record is from RNAcentral.